Molecule: ribosomal RNA, 507 nt
Filed under: uncultured bacterium
Lineage: Bacteria
Description: partial 16S ribosomal RNA
Rfam family: Bacterial small subunit ribosomal RNA
Source: RNAcentral
AUUGAACGCUGGCGGUAUGCUUAACACAUGCAAGUCGAACGGCAGCAUGGUGUGCAGCAAUACACACUGAUGGCGCGUGGCGGACGGGCGAGAAACGCGUAGGAAUCUGCCUUAUAGAGGGGGACAACUAGAGGAAACUCUAGCUAAUACCGCGUAAUGCCUGCGGACUAAAGGCUGGGUAGCAAUACCUGGCGCUAUAAGAGGAGCCUGCGUACGAUUAGCUAGUUGGUGGGGUAAGAGCCUACCAAGGCGAUUAUCGGUAGCUGGUCUGAGAGGAGGAUCAGCCACGCUGGGACUGAGACACGGCCCAGACUCCUACGGGAGGCAGCAGUGGGGAAUAUUGGACAAUGGGGGGAACCCUGAUCCAGCAAUACCGCGUGUGUGAAGAAGGCCUUCGGGUUGUAAAGCACUUUAGGCUGGGAAGAAGGUGUGCUGUUUAAGAGAUGGCAUAUUUGACUGUACCGGCAGAAUAAGCACCGGCUAACUCUGUGCCAGCAGCCGCCGUAA